Molecule: ribosomal RNA, 260 nt
Filed under: uncultured bacterium
Lineage: Bacteria
Description: partial 16S ribosomal RNA
Rfam family: Bacterial small subunit ribosomal RNA
Source: RNAcentral
CGAGUGGCGGACGGGUGAGUAAUGUCUGGGAAACUGCCUGAUGGAGGGGGAUAACUACUGGAAACGGUAGCUAAUACCGCAUAACGUCGAAAGACCAAAGAGGGGGACCCUCGGGCCUCUUGCCAUCGGAUGUGCCCAGAUGGGAUUAGCUAGUAGGUGGGGUAACGGCUCACCUAGGCGACGAUCCCUAGCUGGUCUGAGAGGAUGACCAGCCACACUGGAACUGAGACACGGUCCAGACUCCUACGGGAGGCAGCAUG